GACGAACGCUGGCGGCGUGCAUAAUACAUGCAAGUCGAACGCUUCUUUCCUCCCGAGUGCUUGCACUCAAUUGGAAAGAGGAGUGGCGGACGGGUGAGUAACACGUGGGUAACCUACCCAUCAGAGGGGGAUAACACUUGGAAACAGGUGCUAAUACCGCAUAACAGUUUAUGCCGCAUGGCAUAAGAGUGAAAGGCGCUUUCGGGUGUCGCUGAUGGAUGGACCCGCGGUGCAUUAGCUAGUUGGUGAGGUAACGGCUCACCAAGGCCACGAUGCAUAGCCGACCUGAGAGGGUGAUCGGCCACACUGGGACUGAGACACGGCCCAGACUCCUACGGGAGGCAGCAGUAGGGAAUCUUCGGCAAUGGACGAAAGUCUGACCGAGCAACGCCGCGUGAGUGAAGAAGGUUUUCGGAUCGUAAAACUCUGUUGUUAGAGAAGAACAAGGACGUUAGUAACUGAACGUCYCCUGACGGUAUCUAACCAGAAAGCCACGGCUAACUACGUGCCAGCAGCCGCGGUAAUACGUAGGUGGCAAGCGUUGUCCGGAUUUAUUGGGCGUAAAGCGAGCGCAGGCGGUUUCUUAAGUCUGAUGUGAAAGCCCCCGGCUCAACCGGGGAGGGUCAUUGGAAACUGGGAGACUUGAGUGCAGAAGAGGAGAGUGGAAUUCCAUGUGUAGCGGUGAAAUGCGUAGAUAUAUGGAGGAACACCAGUGGCGAAGGCGGCUCUCUGGUCUGUAACUGACGCUGAGCUCGAAAGCGUGGGGAGCAACAGGAU
This 777-nucleotide ribosomal RNA is filed under the name Enterococcus faecalis. Its description in RNAcentral is "bacterial SSU rRNA". It matches the Rfam family "Bacterial small subunit ribosomal RNA", at positions 28 to 778 of the family's 1533-position model. Lineage: Bacteria; Bacillati; Bacillota; Bacilli; Lactobacillales; Enterococcaceae. The record is from RNAcentral.